This 345-nucleotide unclassified non-coding RNA is filed under the name Hevea brasiliensis (rubber tree). Lineage: Eukaryota; Viridiplantae; Streptophyta; Magnoliopsida; Malpighiales; Euphorbiaceae. The record is from RNAcentral.
AGUCUCAAAAUGUCCAUCAGCAACCGACGGACAGAAGCCUUUAUUUCAUCUGGUAUUACUAGCUGAGGAGGAACUGAUUCCAGCGCAUACAGAAUAAUGACCCUCAAUACAGCAGCCAAGUGUAAAUUUGUCCUGUCGCCUUUCCUGACAUUCUGAUUCACAAACUUGCAUGAUGCUUUUAAAGCACAUUUGCUACAUACACUAUCUUCUUGAAUUCUGAAAUAUGUACGCAACAUCUUAGCAGAUAAAACGUUCUUCUUUGCAAUAGAAGGGCAACCAAAAAGGGCGACUUUUUUCAAGUCACUGCCAGACAACCAUUUUGCAAUCUCUUGGUGAUCUCUACCA